RNAcentral lists this ribosomal RNA (495 nucleotides) under uncultured bacterium. Its description in RNAcentral is "bacterial SSU rRNA". It matches the Rfam family "Bacterial small subunit ribosomal RNA", at positions 38 to 507 of the family's 1533-position model. The record is from RNAcentral.
GAACCGCUGGGCGGCCGUGCCUAACACAUGCAAGUCGAACGCAUCAGGUGCUUCGGCGCUGAUGAGUGGCGAACGGGUGAGUAACACGUGAGUAACUUGCCGUGGGGGAGGGGGAUAACCAUCUGAAAAGAUGGCUAAUACCCCAUAUUCUCCUUUAUUGCUAGAUAAAGGAGGAAAAGGUGGCGUAAAGCUGUCGCCCCCCGGAGAGGCUCGCGUCCCAUCAGCUAGUUGGUAGGGUAAUGGCUUACCAAGGCUAUGACGGGUAGCUGGUCUGAGAGGAUGGUCAGCCACACUGGGACUGAGACACGGCCCAGACUCCUACGGGAGGCAGCAGUGAGGAAUCUUGGGCAAUGGGCGAAAGCCUGACCCAGCGACGCCGCGUGGAGGAAGAAGGUCUUCGGAUCGUAAACUCCUGUUCGGGGAGAAGAACAAGAGAGAAGUUAAUAGCUUCUCUCUCUGACGGUAUCCCCGGAGAAAGCUCCGGCUAAUUACGUG